CCCUUUCUAAGAAGCUUGUGUGAUCACCAAUAGAGGAAAAAAUGACAAAUUUUCUAAGAAGAUACAGCCCCUCGCAAUGAAGAUCAAUGACUGAAAUGCUACAGAGGAGUGUUUGUUGAAAAAGCAAUUAAAUUUGAAUAAGAAAUUAAGUAC
Juglans microcarpa x Juglans regia is the source of this 153-nucleotide long non-coding RNA. RefSeq lists it as uncharacterized. The record is from RefSeq and is a predicted model, not a curated record. NCBI's taxonomy places the organism in Eukaryota, Viridiplantae, Streptophyta, Magnoliopsida, Fagales, Juglandaceae. The transcript has 3 exons.